AUGGAGAGUUUGAUUCUGGCUCAGAACGAACGCUGGCGGCGUGGAUAAGACAUGCAAGUCGAACGAGAGAAUUGCUAGCUUGCUAAUAAUUCUCUAGUGGCGCACGGGUGAGUAACACGUGAGUAACCUGCCCCGAGAGCGGGAUAGCCCUGGGAAACUGGGAUUAAUACCGCAUAGUAUCGAAAGAUUAAAGCAGCAAUGCGCUUGGGGAUGGGCUCGCGGCCUAUUAGUUAGUUGGUGAGGUAACGGCUCACCAAGGCGAUGACGGGUAGCCGGUCUGAGAGGAUGUCCGGCCACACUGGAACUGAGACACGGUCCAGACACCUACGGGUGGCAGCAGUCGAGAAUCAUUCACAAUGGGGGAAACCCUGAUGGUGCGACGCCGCGUGGGGGAAUGAAGGUCUUCGGAUUGUAAACCCCUGUCAUGUGGGAGCAAAUUAAAAAGAUAGUACCACAAGAGGAAGAGACGGCUAACUCUGUGCCAGCAGCCGCGGUAAUACAGAGGUCUCAAGCGUUGUUCGGAAUCACUGGGCGUAAAGCGUGCGUAGGCUGUUUCGUAAGUCGUGUGUGAAAGGCGCGGGCUCAACCCGCGGACGGCACAUGAUACUGCGAGACUAGAGUAAUGGAGGGGGAACCGGAAUUCUCGGUGUAGCAGUGAAAUGCGUAGAUAUCGAGAGGAACACUCGUGGCGAAGGCGGGUUCCUGGACAUUAACUGACGCUGAGGCACGAAGGCCAGGGGAGCGAAAGGGAUUAGAUACCCCUGUAGUCCUGGCAGUAAACGGUGCACGCUUGGUGUGCGGGGAAUCGACCCCCUGCGUGCCGGAGCUAACGCGUUAAGCGUGCCGCCUGGGGAGUACGGUCGCAAGAUUAAAACUCAAAGAAAUUGACGGGGACCCGCACAAGCGGUGGAGUAUGUGGCUUAAUUCGAUGCAACGCGAAGAACCUUACCUGGGCUUGACAUGUAAUGAACAACAUGUGAAAGCAUGCGACUCUUCGGAGGCGUUACACAGGUGCUGCAUGGCCGUCGUCAGCUCGUGUCGUGAGAUGUUUGGUUAAGUCCAGCAACGAGCGCAACCCCUGUUGCCAGUUACCAGCACGUGAAGGUGGGGACUCUGGCGAGACUGCCCAGAUCAACUGGGAGGAAGGUGGGGACGACGUCAGGUCAGUAUGGCCCUUAUGCCCAGGGCUGCACACGUACUACAAUGCCCAGUACAGAGGGGGCCGAAGCCGCGAGGCGGAGGAAAUCCUGAAAACUGGGCCCAGUUCGGACUGUAGGCUGCAACCCGCCUACACGAAGCCGGAAUCGCUAGUAAUGGCGCAUCAGCUACGGCGCCGUGAAUACGUUCCCGGGUCUUGUACACACCGCCCGUCACAUCAUGGAAGCCGGUCGCACCCGAAGUAUCUGAAGCCAACCGCAAGGAGGCAGGGUCCUAAGGUGAGACUGGUAACUGGGAUGAAGUCGUAACAAGGUAGCCGUAGGGGAACCUGCGGCUGGAUCACCUCCUUUCUAUGGA
Molecule: ribosomal RNA, 1515 nt
Filed under: Akkermansia muciniphila
Lineage: Bacteria; Pseudomonadati; Verrucomicrobiota; Verrucomicrobiia; Verrucomicrobiales; Akkermansiaceae
Description: bacterial SSU rRNA
Rfam family: Bacterial small subunit ribosomal RNA
Source: RNAcentral